UUUGACGAUUCUUCAACUAAUUC
RNAcentral lists this small nuclear RNA (23 nucleotides) under Arabidopsis thaliana (thale cress). Its description in RNAcentral is "snRNA_01471". The record is from RNAcentral. Lineage: Eukaryota; Viridiplantae; Streptophyta; Magnoliopsida; Brassicales; Brassicaceae.